GCGCAGCUGAUGCAGCGACGCCGCGUGGGUGAUGAAGGCCUUCGGGUUGUAAAGCCCUGUGGAGGGGGACGAAUAAGUCGGAGCGAACAGCUCUCGAUGAUGACGGUACCCCUUUAGCAAGCACCGGCUAACUCUGUGCCAGCAGCCGCGGUAAGACAGAGGGUGCAAACGUUGUUCGGAAUUACUGGGCGUAAAGCGCGUGUAGGCGGCUUGGCAAGUCGGGUGUGAAAGCCCCGGGCUCAACCUGGGAAGUGCACUCGAAACUGCUUGGCUUGAGUACGGGAGAGGGAAGCGGAAUUCUCGGUGUAGAGGUGAAAUUCGUAGAUAUCGAGAGGAACAUCGGUGGCGAAGGCGGCUCCCUGGACAGCACUGACGCUGA
This 379-nucleotide ribosomal RNA is filed under the name uncultured bacterium. RNAcentral describes it as "bacterial SSU rRNA". It matches the Rfam family "Bacterial small subunit ribosomal RNA", at positions 377 to 749 of the family's 1533-position model. The record is from RNAcentral.